RNAcentral lists this ribosomal RNA (468 nucleotides) under uncultured bacterium. RNAcentral's name for it is "partial 16S ribosomal RNA". It matches the Rfam family "Bacterial small subunit ribosomal RNA", at positions 28 to 507 of the family's 1533-position model. The record is from RNAcentral.
GACGAACGCUGGCGGCGUGCUUAACACAUGCAAGUCGAACGGAAAGGCCCUGCUUUUGUGGGGUGCUCGAGUGGCGAACGGGUGAGUAACACGUGAGUAACCUGCCCUUGACUUUGGGAUAACUUCAGGAAACUGGGGCUAAUACCGGAUAGGAGCUCCUGCUGCAUGGUGGGGGUUGGAAAGUUUCGGCGGUUGGGGAUGGACUCGCGGCUUAUCAGCUUGUUGGUGGGGUAGUGGCUUACCAAGGCUUUGACGGGUAGCCGGCCUGAGAGGGUGACCGGCCACAUUGGGACUGAGAUACGGCCCAGACUCCUACGGGAGGCAGCAGUGGGGAAUAUUGCACAAUGGGCGGAAGCCUGAUGCAGCAACGCCGCGUGCGGGAUGACGGCCUUCGGGUUGUAAACCGCUUUCGCCUGUGACGAAGCGUGAGUGACGGUAAUGGGUAAAGAAGCGCCGGCUAACUAUGUG